AGGGAAUCUUCCACAAUGGACGCAAGUCUGAUGGAGCAACGCCGCGUGAGUGAAGAAGGUUUUCGGACCGUAAAGCUCUGUUGUUGGUGAAGAAGGAUAGAGGUAGUAACUGGCCUUUAUUUGACGGUAAUCAACCAGAAAGUCACGGCUAACUACGUGCCAGCAGCCGCGGUAAUACGUAGGUGGCAAGCGUUGUCCGGAUUUAUUGGGCGUAAAGCGAGCGCAGGCGGAAGAAUAAGUCUGAUGUGAAAGCCCUCGGCUUAACCGAGGAAUUGCAUCGGAAACUGUUUUCUUGAGUGCAGAAGAGGAGAGUAGAACUCCAUGUGUAGCGGUGGAAUGCGUAGAUAUAUGGAAGAAUACCAGUGGCGAAGGCGGCUCUCUGGUCUGCAAACUGACGCUGAGGCUCGAAAGCAUGGGUAGCGAACAGGAUUAGAUACCCUGGUAGUCCAUGCCGUAAAACGAUGAGUGCUAAGUGUUGGGAGGCUUCCGCCUCUCAGUGCUGCAGCUAACGCAUUAAGCACUCCGCCUGGGGAGUACGACCGCAAGGUUGAAAC
RNAcentral lists this ribosomal RNA (554 nucleotides) under uncultured bacterium. Its description in RNAcentral is "partial 16S ribosomal RNA". It matches the Rfam family "Bacterial small subunit ribosomal RNA", at positions 356 to 900 of the family's 1533-position model. The record is from RNAcentral.